UCCGAAGGUCCCAAGCGUUGUUCGGAAUCACUGGGCGUAAAGGGAGCGUAGGCGGCGUGGUAAGUCAGAUGUGAAAUCCCGGGGCUCAACCCCGGAACUGCAUCCGAUACUGCCAUGCUAGAGGAUUGGAGAGGUAGCUGGAAUUCUUGGUGUAGCAGUGAAAUGCGUAGAGAUCAAGAGGAACACUCGUGGCGAAAGCGAGCUACUGGACAAUUCCUGACGCUGAGGCUCGAAGGCUAGGGUAGCGAAAGGG
Molecule: ribosomal RNA, 253 nt
Filed under: uncultured bacterium
Lineage: Bacteria
Description: partial 16S ribosomal RNA
Rfam family: Bacterial small subunit ribosomal RNA
Source: RNAcentral